Amphiprion ocellaris (clown anemonefish) is the source of this 2047-nucleotide long non-coding RNA. The record is from Ensembl. Lineage: Eukaryota; Metazoa; Chordata; Actinopteri; Pomacentridae.
GAGGAUAUUGCAACAAAAGUGAAUUCAAGAUGUCUGAUAAGUCUUACUGAGGUUUUUAGUGUGUCAGUUUAACUAACUUUAAAGGAUUCUUUCUAUAUAGACAAAGAGAAAACCUUAACUAUGAUAUUAUAAUAUGAGUUAACAUUUUACCAAACCUCAAGGAGAAGAAGCAAGUGUGUUUUGUGUAGCCAGGUUCAUUUGAAAGAAACCUCAUUCUGGACCUGGUGUUUUGUUUGACUGACUAGAUAACGUCAUGAAAAAAACUAAAAACACUUCCAGCGACCAUAAUAUAUGUUUCAUGUCUCGUGUAGAACUCAGUUUCUCACAGUAACCAUAUUACUUACUUGCUAUUUCUAAUGAAAAUUCAAUAUUUUCCAGGUACCUCUUAAAAAUGAGCUAAAAAGACAUUUAAGGAAUAAAAUUAGCAUAAUGAGAGUUACAAUUUAUCUGUAAAAAUUAGCAGCACAGACACAUUUUCCAACUCAUUUAGGUCGGUACUGAUAUAUGCACAUACUUUAAACCCACUUGCUGAGAACAUUAAAUCUCUCCUGUAGUCGACUGAACAGAUUAUUCCAACUGUUGUCAUGUAGCAGAGGCUUUAAAUAGAAUACAUUUCAAAUGUACACAUUCACUGGGUAAAAUAAGAAAACAAGUAAUAAUAUUAUAAUAUAAAUAAUAUAGGUAUACUUCAACCUACAUUAAAGAACAUGCCAUAUUUAUUUUUUUAAUUUAAAUGUUAUGCUUUUUGUGUGUUCUUCUUCUAAGAUUUUCAUUAUCUGCCUGUCAGUGCUAAUAUUUCAUUUCAAAUCUUUUAUCAAUAUCAAUAUCUUUGAUAUCAACUAAAAAUGUACUCAAGUAGGAGUAAGAAAUGAUUUUUUAUUUGUUGAUUUACACUACCGUUCAAAGGUUUGGGGUCACUUAGAAAUGUCCUUAUUUUGGAAAGAACAGCGGUUUUGUUCAAUGAAGAUAACAUUAAGUGAAUCAGAAACACAAUCUAGACAUUGUUAAUGUGGUAAAUGACUACUGUAGCUGGAAACAGCUGAUUUUUAAUGGAAUAUCUCCAUAGAGGUACAGAGGAACAUUUCCAGCAACCAUCACUCCUGUGUUCUAAUGCUACAUUGUGUUAGCUAAUGGUGUUGAAAGCUAACUGAUGAUUAGAAAACCCUUGUGCAAUUAUGUUAGCACAAGAAUAAAAGUGUGAGUUUUCAUGGAAAAUGUGAACCUUUUGAAUGGUAGUGUAUAUAUUUUCUAGUGCUUCUGGGCUCUGCAAGCUCAAAAUACAUCAUGAGAGCACAUUUGGGUAGCAUUAUUAAUGAUAAAAGUUGCGAUUGCACUGAAUGUCCACUGAGAUGUAUUUUCAUGCAUUUCUUUAGUACAAAUGAGUGAAACUGUAAGUCUACAUGGUUAGUUUAGCUCAGCACAAAGGCUGGAAACAGCCAGCUGCUCUGCCCUGCACAUUGCUCCCCAUGAAACAGUAAAUUGUUCUUUUUACACUUUGGAUUUUGCACCAAAUAAAGAAAGAAGAUCAAAUUACUGUCAGUAAUUUAAGCCAGAAAGCAAAUAAGUGUUUCCUAAAAUGCCGAGCUGCUCUUUAAAAGAACCCUGUUUAGCGACAUGUAUUUGACUUCUCUUGUUCUAAAGCACAAUUCUGGAUCAUAUUGAAUCUUGUGGUGUAACGGUGUAGAUAACACAGGAAGUGACACUUUCUCUGUGAAUACUGAUCAGAAGCCUCCUUCUGACAGACGUGUACACAGUGCCAUGAACUAAAGAUAGCUUUUAUGUGUACCACAUUUUAUUUUUCUGCCCUGUUCAUAACGUUGUAUGAGGAGCUUUCAGUCCAGUUGGGAAAACAGCUCGUUUGUAUAGACUUUAAAACAUUGUGUACUUUAUAAGUGAUGAGUCUAAUUAUUGUCGUUUUAUAUGUAACGAUUUCAGGCACCAUGUAUCAGUGGUUUCAGGACCGUUCUACAGAUGUGGAUGUGGUGUGAACUGUCACUGUUUUCUAUGUACUGUAUACUCCUGAGCAGUAAAAUUAGAAAGAAAAACA